Molecule: ribosomal RNA, 726 nt
Filed under: uncultured archaeon
Lineage: Archaea
Description: bacterial SSU rRNA
Rfam family: Archaeal small subunit ribosomal RNA
Source: RNAcentral
GGGAAACUGAGGAUAAUACCCCAUAGGUGUGGUAUGCUGGAAUGCUUCCACGCUGAAAGCCCCGGCGCUUCAGGAUGAGUCUGCGGCCUAUCAGGCUGUAGUGGGUGUAACGGACCCACUAACCUACGACGGGUAGGGGCGUUGAGAGACGGAGCCCCUAGAUGGAUUCUGAGACACGAAUCCAGGCCCUACGGGGCGCAGCAGCUACGAAAACUGCACGAUGUGGGAAACCACGAUGCGGGCAUACCGAGUGCCAACGCUUUGCGUUGGCUGUUCUUUCGCCUAAAAAGCGAGAGAAGUAAGGGCCGGGUAAGACGGGUGCCAGCCGCCGCGGUAAUACCCGCGGCCCGAGUGGUGCUCAUUAUUAUUGAGCUUAAAGCGUCCGUAGCCGGCCUCGUAAAUCUUUGGGUAAAUCGGGCAGCUCAACUGUUCGAAUUCCGAGGAGACUGCGAGGCUCGGGACCGGGGAGAGGUUCGAGGUACUCUCGGGGUAGGGGUAAAAUCCUGUAAUCCUGAGAGGACCACCAGUGGCGAAGGCGUCGAACUAGAACGGAUCCGACGGUGAGGGACGAAGCCCUGGGGCGCAAACGGGAUUAGAUACCCAGGUAGUCCAGGGUGUAAACGCUGCGGGGUUUGGUGUCGGAGGUCCUACGCGGGCGUCCCGGUGCCGGAGAGAAAUUGUUAAACCUGCCGCUUGGGGGAGUACGGUCGCAAGACUGAAACUUAA